Molecule: ribosomal RNA, 201 nt
Filed under: Clostridioides difficile
Lineage: Bacteria; Bacillati; Bacillota; Clostridia; Peptostreptococcales; Peptostreptococcaceae
Description: partial 16S ribosomal RNA
Rfam family: Bacterial small subunit ribosomal RNA
Source: RNAcentral
UCGCAGAUCAGAAUGCUGCGGUGAAUGCGUUCCCGGGUCUUGUACACACCGCCCGUCACACCACGGGAGUUGGAGACGACCGAAGCCGAUUAUCUAACCUUUUGGAAGAAGUCGUCGAAGGUGGAAUUAAUAACUGGGGUGAAGUCGUAACAAGGUAGCCGUAUCGGAAGGUGCGGCUGGAUCACCUCCUUUCUAAGGAGA